This 253-nucleotide ribosomal RNA is filed under the name uncultured bacterium. Its description in RNAcentral is "partial 16S ribosomal RNA". It matches the Rfam family "Bacterial small subunit ribosomal RNA", at positions 524 to 776 of the family's 1533-position model. The record is from RNAcentral.
UACGUAGGUGGCGAGCGUUGUCCGGAUUUACUGGGCGUAAAGGGAGCGUAGGCGGAUUUUUAAGUGAGAUGUGAAAUACUCGGGCUCAACUUGAGUGCUGCAUUUCAAACUGGAAGUCUAGAGUGCAGGAGAGGAAAAUGGAAUUCCUAGUGUAGCGGUGAAAUGCGUAGAGAUUAGGAAGAACACCAGUGGCGAAGGCGAUUCUCUGGACUGUAACUGACGCUGAGGCUCGAAAGCGUGGGGAGCAAACAGG